GAGGGAUAAGGUUCAGCUUGCUGAACACACGACCGGCGCACGGGUGAGUAACGCGUUUGCAAUUUACCUCUAACUGGAAGAUAGCCCGAAGAAAUUCGGAUUAAUACUCCAUAAUAUUAGGAAUUCGCAUGAUUUCCUAAUUAAAGCUCCGGCGGUUAGAGAUGAGCAUGCGUGUCAUUAGCUAGUUGGUAAGGUAACGGCUUACCAAGGCGACGAUGACUAGGGGGUCUGAGAGGAUGGUCCCCCACACUGGUACUGAGACACGGACCAGACUCCUACGGGAGGCAGCAGUGAGGAAUAUUGGGCAAUGGGCGCAAGCCUGACCCAGCCAUGCCGCGUGCAGGAUGACUGCCCUAUGGGUUGUAAACUGCUUUUAUACGGGAAGAAUGGUUCCUACGUGUAGGGAUUUGACGGUACCGUAAGAAUAAGCAUCGGCUAACUCCGUGCCAGCAGCCGCGGUAAUACGGAGGAUGCAAGCGUUAUCCGGAUUCAUUGGGUUUAAAGGGUGCGCAGGCGGAAUAUUAAGUCAGUGGUGAAAUCCUGCAGCUUAACUGUAGAACUGCCAUUGAUACUGAUAUUCUUGAAUAUAGUUGAGGUGGGCGGAAUGUGUAAUGUAGCGGUGAAAUGCUUAGAUAUUACACAGAACACCGAUUGCGAAGGCAGCUCACUAAACUAAUAUUGACGCUGAGGCACGAAAGCGUGGGGAGCGAACAGGAUUAGAUACCCUGGUAGUCCACGCUGUAAACGAUGAUCACUCGCUGUUGGCAAUACAUCGUCAGCGGCUGAGCGAAAGCAUUAAGUGAUCCACCUGGGGAAUACGAUCGCAAGAUUGAAACUCAAAGGAAUUGACGGGGGCCCGCACAAGCGGAGGAACAUGUGGUUUAAUUCGAUGAUACGCGAGGAACCUUACCUGGGCUUAAAUGCAGAACGACGUUUCGGGAAACCGGAAUUUCUUCGGACGGACUGCAAGGUGCUGCAUGGCUGUCGUCAGCUCGUGCCGUGAGGUGUCGG
RNAcentral lists this ribosomal RNA (1011 nucleotides) under uncultured organism. RNAcentral describes it as "bacterial SSU rRNA". It matches the Rfam family "Bacterial small subunit ribosomal RNA", at positions 64 to 1078 of the family's 1533-position model. The record is from RNAcentral.